CGCUGGCGGCGUGCUUAACACAUGCAAGUCGAGCGAUGAAGCUCUUCGGAAGUGGAUUAGCGGCGGACGGGUGAGUAACACGUGGGGUAACCUGCCUCGUAAGAGGGGAAUAGCCUUCCGAAAGGAAGAUUAAUACCGCAUAAGAUUGUAAUAUCGCAUGAUAUAGCAAUUAAAGGAGUAAUCCGCUAUGAGAUGGACCCGCGUCGCAUUAGCUAGUUGGUGAGGUAACGGCUCACCAAGGCGACGAUGCGUAGCCGACCUGAGAGGGUGAUCGGCCACAUUGGGACUGAGACACGGCCCAGACUCCUACGGGAGGCAGCAGUGGGGAAUAUUGCACAAUGGGGGAAACCCUGAUGCAGCAACGCCGCGUGAGUGAUGACGGUCUUCGGAUUGUAAAGCUCUGUCUUUAGGGACGAUAAUGACGGUACCUAAGGAGGAAGCCACGGCUAACUACGUGCCAGCCGCCGC
Molecule: ribosomal RNA, 468 nt
Filed under: uncultured bacterium
Lineage: Bacteria
Description: bacterial SSU rRNA
Rfam family: Bacterial small subunit ribosomal RNA
Source: RNAcentral